This 433-nucleotide ribosomal RNA is filed under the name uncultured bacterium. RNAcentral describes it as "partial 16S ribosomal RNA". It matches the Rfam family "Bacterial small subunit ribosomal RNA", at positions 29 to 507 of the family's 1533-position model. The record is from RNAcentral.
AACGAACGCUGGCGGCAUGCCUAACACAUGCAAGUCGAACGAGACCUUCGGGUCUAGUGGCGCACGGGUGCGUAACGCGUGGGAACCUGCCCUUAGGGUCGGAAUAACUCUCCGAAAGGGGUGCUAAUACCGGAUAAUGUCUUCGGACGAAAGAUUUAUCGCCUUUGGAUGGGCCCGCGUUGGAUUAGCUGGUUGGUAGGGUAAAAGCCUACCAAGGGGACGAUCCAUAGCUGGUCUGAGAGGAUGAUCAGCCACACUGGGACUGGGACACGGCCCGGACUCCUACGGGAGGCAGCAGUGGGGAAUAUUGGACAGUGGGCGGAGGCCUGAUCCAGCAAUGCCCCGUGAGUGAUGAAGGCCUUAGAGUUGUAAAGCUCUUUUAACCAGGAUGAUAAUGACAGUACCGGGAGAAUAAGCUCCGGCUAACUCCGUG